UUUUAUUUUGUUGAUUGUUUCCUUUGCUCUGCAGAAACUUUUAGUUUGAUAUAAUCCCAUUUGUCUUUUCUUGCUUUUGCUGUCUGGGCUUCUGCUGUCACACCUGUAUUUUUGUUUUUGUUUUUGUACCAGAGAAAGUGAAGCAACAAAUGAGGAACAUGAGAACACUGGAGUAGAAAGCUGGGUGGGCAUCAGACAGCUGACCAAAAUUUUCACUAUCAAAAUGGCAGAAGUUACCUUUGGGAAUUGCCUUCGGAGUGUUUAUGAGCUGCAAAAGAACAUCAAUUAGUCUUAUUACUUUACAGUUUUCUCUGUCUAUGUAGGGUAAAAACAUUAUAUAUCCAUAUAAAAUAUAUAUCAUUAAAACUUAGCCUGUUGGACAUUUCUUUUUUUAUUUUUAAUUGUAACUUUUGUGGGUACAUGGUGUACAUAUUCAUGGAAUGCAUGAGAUGUUUUGAUACAGGUGUGCAAUGUGUGAUAAUCACAACAUGGAGAAUGGGGUAUCUAUCCCCUCAAGCAUUUAUACUUUGUAUUAUAAACAAUCCAAUUAUACUCUUUUAGUUAUUUUUUAAUGUACGAUUCAAUUAUGAUUGACUAUAGUCACCCUGUUGUGCUAUCAAAUACUAGGUCUUAUUCAGUCUUUCUAAAUUUUUGGUACCCAUUAACCAUUCCCACCCCUCUGCCCUUCCACCACUCUUUCCAGCCAGUUGGACAUUUCUUUUAUAAACUGAAGUAUGUGGCGAAUGACUUUUAACCAUUUCCGAAAAUCAAACACGAUGUAAAAAUAUUACACUUGUGGACUCAGAAUACCAAAAAUAUGUGUUUCCAGCCCUGAUGGCAAUCUUCAAAGAGGGAUUGCAGCAUACCUGGAGUAGCCACAGCACCGUUGUCAGCACUGAGCCCACACAAGUGACUGUUGACACAGGGACCGUAUUCUGUGUAUAUCUAUGUUCUGAGAAUAUUUUGUUGUUGUGGUGGUGGUUGGAAAAGCUUUUAUAUGACAGUUUAUGGCUCACAGUGGUGUCUGGCUGGUGGCCUUCAAUGCAAUGACUCAUAAGAACCUCUCCUUCAGUCACCCUUGAAGACCCAACAAAGCUGGGGAAAGGAGGGGAAUUUCCCGAUACCAUUGACAAUGAAGAUGGACAAGCUAACGGCAGAACCUCAGAAGGAUCUGACUUCAGAUAUGCACGCAGCGUACCCUGGCUUCAUUUCACAAAAACAGUACCCUUUUGCAAAGGGAGGAAGUGACUUUCUCAUGACCCGAACCAGAAAAUAGGCAGCCACGGGACUCUAUGCACUGAUUCCACCUUGGGGAGCAGGCAGAACAUGUCCCCUUUGUGACCACGUUCACUGGCAUCUUUCUGGAUCCAGAUAGAGUGCAAAACUUAGAAACAGCUGAGUGGUACGCAGAGGGGGUACAGGUACAGAUCAUACCGUGCAGGCAGGUAUGACCCUACAAUAAACUGCCCAAGAUAUGUGUUGUA
Molecule: long non-coding RNA, 1484 nt
Filed under: Homo sapiens (human)
Lineage: Eukaryota; Metazoa; Chordata; Mammalia; Primates; Hominidae
Description: HSALNT0354449
Source: RNAcentral